This 486-nucleotide ribosomal RNA is filed under the name uncultured bacterium. RNAcentral's name for it is "partial 16S ribosomal RNA". It matches the Rfam family "Bacterial small subunit ribosomal RNA", at positions 30 to 507 of the family's 1533-position model. The record is from RNAcentral.
AUUGAACGCUGGCGGCAUGCCUUACACAUGCAAGUCGAACGGCAGCACGGGUGCUUGCCCCUGGUGGCGAGUGGCGAACGGGUGAGUAAUGCAUCGGAACAUGUCCUGUAGUGGGGGAUAGCCCGGCGAAAGCCGGAUUAAUACCGCAUACGAUCCACGGAUGAAAGCGGGGGACCUUCGGGCCUCGCGCUAUAGGGUUGGCCGAUGGCUGAUUAGCUAGUUGGUGGGGUAAAGGCCUACCAAGGCGACGAUCAGUAGCUGGUCUGAGAGGACGACCAGCCACACUGGGACUGAGACACGGCCCAGACUCCUACGGGAGGCAGCAGUGGGGAAUUUUGGACAAUGGGCGAAAGCCUGAUCCAGCAAUGCCGCGUGUGUGAAGAAGGCCUUCGGGUUGUAAAGCACUUUUGUCCGGAAAGAAAUCCUUGGCUCUAAUACAGUCGGGGGAUGACGGUACCGGAAGAAUAAGCACCGGCUAACUACGUG